Long non-coding RNA from Brassica napus (rape), 1470 nucleotides. RefSeq lists it as uncharacterized. The transcript is spliced from 6 exons. The record is from RefSeq and is a predicted model, not a curated record. NCBI's taxonomy places the organism in Eukaryota, Viridiplantae, Streptophyta, Magnoliopsida, Brassicales, Brassicaceae.
GCUUUUACUGACUUUUCACUUUCCCUUAUAACAUCGGUUUCUCAAACCGAUCUCAUCGUCGGCGAUGUCUGUUGUUCUCUUAAACGUCCAUGUUUUUUUCACCAAAAGGAUUACAGAAGAUAGAUCUACUGAUUAGGCGUUAAGAUCAUGCCAUACGAAGAUCUAAGGUUUGAAAUACGAAGACCCUUCUCUAUGAUUUCUAGAGCCCGUAACCUGUAGAAUCAUGAAGAAAACACCUCGUUGAAGUUACCAAUGGGUAAGGAAUGCGGAGAAGAUCUAUUUUGUUCACGGUUUGCAAGUAAUAGUUGGCAGGAGUUUCAGCUUUUUAAUAAUAACAAAAGGGACAGGGGACAGAUGGGAUAUAUAGAAAAGACCAGGGAGAGACAUGUUGAAGGAUAGACAUGAUCAUCAAUUGUAACAUGACAUAGCAAAGUGAAGGCACACAGAUCAUUUUCUACCUCUAUCAGUAGCAGUAAUCAAGAUGGAAAAGAAGACAACAACCAUGACAUGACAACAGAUUUAUUACAUGACGAAAACUACUAAUCUGAUGCGCUGAACUCAGGAAGUAAGGGAGUAUGACAAUUCAAUUCGACGGUAUGAAGUUUCUUGACCAGAGGUGGUAGCUGCUUGUCUUGUUUCAGAAACUGAGAGUCUUCUGGAAUGUCCGGUUGUUGUUUCCACAACCUCAUCAGUCUCUGAAACUGUGUUGUCGUAUGUGAAUACCCCCAUUGGGUGAUGAAAUUUACAGCUUGGACCAAACUUGCAGAUUCUAUAGCGACUAUAGAACACACACAACGCUUACAGGGCGUAAAGGGAGGCCAAUGGGACUUAAGAGACAAUCAGGAGGAGGAGUUUGUCUAUUUCUAGGGUGAUGAAACUUGCAAACUGUUCCGAAUUUGCAGUCUCCUGUCUUCAUGUAGAAUUGGCAUUCAGGUUGUCCUGGUCUCUCCGGGAAGACACUUUCACUUGGUAAUGCAUAGAUCCCUCCUUGCGGAACAGAUGAGCCUGACUCGUUUUGCUGCAAUUCUCUGUAGUUGUUGUGAUCAUUUCCGGUUCCUGAAGGAGAAACUGAGCCAAGCUGACCCUAACAAAAUGAAAAAGUUCAGUUCGAAUCAUAAGAAUCAGAUGAGCAGUGUUGUCUUUGACACAACUUACGGUGUAAGGGUUCCAUACAACUCCUUGAGGCAUCAUUAAUGGUGUGAAGCCAGAGGGAUCUUGCCAUCGAGGGGUGGGAAUGAAAGAAGCUCUUGACCAAGGAUAAGACUGUUGUUGGCCUGAAGUGGGAACCAUGAGGUUGGUUGUUGGUUGAGGCUGAGGAUGGUUGAAUUUACAAGUGGCGCCAAAUUUACAGUGUCCGGUUCUUAGAAAAUAAGCACAAUCAACCUCAUUCUGUAGUUAUUCAAUCACUAAGACAUGAUGAAACAAUGGCAAGUGUGAUGAUGAAAUAAAUAAAUAAAAAUGUAAAAAACA